GACAGAGGGUGCAAACGUUGCUCGGAUUUACUGGGCGUAAAGCGCAUGUAGGCGGGACUUUAAGUCGGGUGUGAAAUCCCUGGGCUCAACCUAGGAACUGCAUCCGAAACUGAGGUUCUGGAGUAGUGGAGAGGAAAGCGGAAUUCCGGGUGUAGAGGUGAAAUUCGUAGAUAUUCGCAAGAACACCAGUGGCGAAGGCGGCUUACUGGUCCGGUUCUGACGCUGAGGCGCGAAAGCGUGGGGAGCAAACAGG
This 253-nucleotide ribosomal RNA is filed under the name uncultured bacterium. Its description in RNAcentral is "partial 16S ribosomal RNA". It matches the Rfam family "Bacterial small subunit ribosomal RNA", at positions 524 to 776 of the family's 1533-position model. The record is from RNAcentral.